GUCCUUGCCGUAAACUAUGUAUACUUGGUGUAACCGGACUCAACCCUGGUUGUGCCGAAGCUAACGCGUUAAGUAUACCGCCUGGGGAGUACAGUCGCAAGGCUGAAAACUCAAAAAGAAUUGACGGGGACCCGCACAAGCAGUGGAGCAUGUGGUUUAAUUCGAUGCAACGCGAAGAACCUUACCCAGGUUUGACAUGCAGAGGACGUUAUCAGAGAUGAUAAUUCCCGAAAGGGCUUCUGCACAGGUGCUGCAUGGCUGUCGU
RNAcentral lists this ribosomal RNA (265 nucleotides) under uncultured bacterium. Its description in RNAcentral is "partial 16S ribosomal RNA". It matches the Rfam family "Bacterial small subunit ribosomal RNA", at positions 793 to 1055 of the family's 1533-position model. The record is from RNAcentral.